Molecule: non-coding RNA, 446 nt
Organism: Arachis ipaensis
Lineage: Eukaryota; Viridiplantae; Streptophyta; Magnoliopsida; Fabales; Fabaceae
Source: RefSeq, a predicted model, not a curated record
CGUGCUGCCCCUCUGGUCCCUGGUCCUUUGCCUCUGCUGCUCUGGUUAAUCUCGGUCGUUCUUCCUCCACGGUGGUCCUCUACAUCUAUUGUUCCUCUGGUCCCUGCUCGUACGCAUCGCUUGGUUUCUGGUUUCUGCUCUGCUGAAGGUUUUACAAUUGAAUCAAUGUUGGAUCACAUGAAACAAUUACUUGAGACACCAGGUUCAAAGCUGCUCUUUGGGGGCAAGCCUUUAGAGGGUCAUUCUAUUCCACCUAUUUACGGUGCUAUUAAGCCCAUUGCUAUUUAUGUUCUCCUUGAGAAAAUUGUGAAGGACAAGAAUUAUGAGCUUGUGACAAAAGAAAUUUUUUGACCUUUCCAGAUACAAAAAUAAGGGCUAUAAACAUGAAAAUUUUCAAGUGUUUUCCCCUCUUUAAAUUAUAAUAUCAAUAUACACUUUGUAUGAGA